GUGAAUCAUCAAAUUUUUGAACGCAAAUUGCACUCUCCUCGGAGAGUAUGCCUGUUUGAGGGUCAGCCUAAAAAAAAUCGACGUAGUCGCUGUUUCGCGGUGACAUUCGUCGGAAAUUGGGUCAUCUUAAACCUUUGGGUUUUUUAAGCGGCUUAAAAUUUUCUUUACGAUUUUAAGAUUGUUUCUAUGAUUUUACUUAUAACUUAAGUUUAUGGA
This 216-nucleotide unclassified non-coding RNA is filed under the name Glomus sp. RNAcentral describes it as "partial contains 5.8S ribosomal RNA and internal transcribed spacer 2". The stretch from base 1 to 65 matches the Rfam family "5.8S ribosomal RNA", at positions 84 to 154 of the family's 154-position model. Lineage: Eukaryota; Fungi; Glomeromycota; Glomeromycetes; Glomerales; Glomeraceae. The record is from RNAcentral.